UAAACUGGUACAUUGAUCCUAGCCCUCCUAGAGUAUUCUCUCAGGAAAAUUCAGCAGCAGCUGCAUGAUAGAGACAUACUGAGACAAAGAUAUUUAUAUAGACUUUGGUACGACUGUGACCUUUUCAACUACAAUCAACCAUGCCAGUCUUCAUUAGAGUUGAGAUCCAACCAAGACAAAGCUCAGCACUCUCAGAAAUUCCCACAAGAAAUGAAAAUGAGUCAACAGCAGCAUCUCAUGGUCAACAGUGUCUCACUGAAGAGGAAAGUUAAUCUUUAUAGAAGACAUUAGCAGCAGCUGGGUAUCUAUCCUCACUUUGUCUGCUUCUGACAGCUGGUGUCAUAGGAACUUUCAAUCUCUGCCUAGGCCCUUCUUUUAUGGAGCUAAAAACCUAAAGGCUCAUGAACAUCAAAGAAAUUGAAGCCAAAA
Molecule: non-coding RNA, 429 nt
Organism: Ictidomys tridecemlineatus (thirteen-lined ground squirrel)
Lineage: Eukaryota; Metazoa; Chordata; Mammalia; Rodentia; Sciuridae
Source: RefSeq, a predicted model, not a curated record